RNAcentral lists this ribosomal RNA (486 nucleotides) under uncultured bacterium. RNAcentral's name for it is "bacterial SSU rRNA". It matches the Rfam family "Bacterial small subunit ribosomal RNA", at positions 30 to 504 of the family's 1533-position model. The record is from RNAcentral.
CGAACGCUGGCGGCGUGCUUAACACAUGCAAGUCGAACGCGAAAGUUUUCUUCGGAAAGCGAGUAGAGUGGCGCACGGGUGAGUAACGCGUAAGUAAUCUACCCUGGUAUCUGGGAUAACCCACCGAAAGGUGUGCUAAUACCGGAUACGCUGAUUUAUCAGGAAAGGUGGCCUCUUCAUGAAAGCUACUGUACCAGGAGGAGCUUGCGUACCAUUAGCUAGUUGGUAGGGUAAUGGCCUACCAAGGCGACGAUGGUUAGCGGGUCUGAGAGGAUGAUCCGCCACACUGGAACUGGAACACGGACCAGACUCCUACGGGAGGCAGCAGUGAGGAAUAUUGCGCAAUGGGGGAAACCCUGACGCAGCGACGCCGCGUGGAUGAUGAAGGCCUUCGGGUCGUAAAAUCCUGUCAGAUGGAAAGAAAUGUAUAGAGGCUAAUACCCUUUAUAUUUGACGGUACCAUCAAAGGAAGCACCGGCUAACUCC